Molecule: ribosomal RNA, 497 nt
Filed under: uncultured bacterium
Lineage: Bacteria
Description: partial 16S ribosomal RNA
Rfam family: Bacterial small subunit ribosomal RNA
Source: RNAcentral
GAUGAACGCUGGCGGCGUGCCUAAUACAUGCAAGUCGAGCGAACAGACGAGGAGCUUGCUCCUUUGACGUUAGCGGCGGACGGGUGAGUAACACGUGGGUAACCUACCUAUAAGACUGGGAUAACUUCGGGAAACCGGAGCUAAUACCGGAUAAUAUUUCGAACCGCAUGGUUCGAUAGUGAAAGAUGGCUUUGCUAUCACUUAUAGAUGGACCUGCGCCGUAUUAGCUAGUUGGUAAGGUAACGGCUUACCAAGGCAACGAUACGUAGCCGACCUGAGAGGGUGAUCGGCCACACUGGAACUGAGACACGGUCCAGAGUCCUACGGGAGGCAGCAGUAGGGAAUCUUCCGCAAUGGGCGAAAGCCUGACGGAGCAACGCCGCGUGAGUGAUGAAGGUCUUCGGAUCGUAAAACUCUGUUAUUAGGGAAGAACAAACGUGUAAGUAACUGUGCACGUCUUGACGGUACCUAAUCAGAAAGCCACGGCUAACUACGUG